Molecule: ribosomal RNA, 477 nt
Filed under: uncultured bacterium
Lineage: Bacteria
Description: partial 16S ribosomal RNA
Rfam family: Bacterial small subunit ribosomal RNA
Source: RNAcentral
AUUGAACGCUGGCGGCAUGCCUUACACAUGCAAGUCGAACGGUAACAGGUUAAGCUGACGAGUGGCGAACGGGUGAGUAAUGUAUCGGAACGUGCCCAGUCGUGGGGGAUAACUGCUCGAAAGAGCAGCUAAUACCGCAUACGACCUGAGGGUGAAAGCGGGGGAUCGCAAGACCUCGCGCGAUUGGAGCGGCCGAUAUCAGAUUAGGUAGUUGGUGAGGUAAAGGCUCACCAAGCCGACGAUCUGUAGCUGGUCUGAGAGGACGACCAGCCACACUGGGACUGAGACACGGCCCAGACUCCUACGGGAGGCAGCAGUGGGGAAUUUUGGACAAUGGGCGCAAGCCUGAUCCAGCCAUUCCGCGUGCGGGAAGAAGGCCUUCGGGUUGUAAACCGCUUUUGUCAGGGAAGAAAAGGUUCUGGCUAAUACCUGGGACUCAUGACGGUACCUGAAGAAUAAGCACCGGCUAACUACGUG